CAGGUAGGGAUACCCGCUGAACUUAAGCAUAUCAUAAA
Molecule: ribosomal RNA, 38 nt
Filed under: Cladonia subulata
Lineage: Eukaryota; Fungi; Ascomycota; Lecanoromycetes; Lecanorales; Cladoniaceae
Description: partial 28S ribosomal RNA
Source: RNAcentral